CCUACGGGUGGCAGCAGUGAGGAAUAUUGGUCAAUGGACGAGAGUCUGAACCAGCCAAGUAGCGUGAAGGAUGACUGCCCUAUGGGUUGUAAACUUCUUUUAUAUGGGAAUAAAAUGUUCCACGUGUGGGAUUUUGUAUGUACCAUAUGAAUAAGGAUCGGCUAACUCCGUGCCAGCAGCCGCGGUAAUACGGAGGAUGCGAGCGUUAUCCGGAUUUAUUGGGUUUAAAGGGUGCGUAGGCGGACGCUUAAGUCAGCGGUAAAAUUGCGGGGCUCAACCUCGUCGAGCCGUUGAAACUGGGUGCCUUGAGUGGGCGAGAAGUACGCGGAAUGCGUGGUGUAGCGGUGAAAUGCAUAGAUAUCACGCAGAACUCCGAUUGCGAAGGCAGCGUACCGGCGCCCAACUGACGCUGAAGCACGAAGGCGUGGGUAUCGAACAGGAUUAGAUACCCCGGUAGUC
Molecule: ribosomal RNA, 459 nt
Filed under: uncultured bacterium
Lineage: Bacteria
Description: partial 16S ribosomal RNA
Rfam family: Bacterial small subunit ribosomal RNA
Source: RNAcentral